UACGGAAAGCAGCAGUGGGGAAUAUUGCACAAUGGGCGCAAGCCUGAUGCAGCCAUGCCGCGUGUAUGAAGAAGGCCUUCGGGUUGUAAAGUACUUUCAGUCGUGAGGAAGGUGUUAAGGUUAAUAACCUUAGCAAUUGACGUUAGCGACAGAAGAAGCACCGGCUAACUCCGUGCCAGCAGCCGCGGUAAUACGGAGGGUGCGAGCGUUAAUCGGAAUUACUGGGCGUAAAGGGCACGCAGGCGGUUAAUUAAGUUGGAUGUGAAAUCCCCGGGCUUAACCUGGGAAUGGCAUUCAAGACUGGUUAGCUAGAGUCUUGUAGAGGGGGUAGAAUUCCAUGUGUAGCGGUGAAAUGCGUAGAGAUGUGGAGGAAUACCGGUGGCGAAGGCGGCCCCUGGGACAAAGACUGACGCUCAUGUGCGAAAGCGUGGGGAGCAAACAGGGAUUAGAUACC
This 454-nucleotide ribosomal RNA is filed under the name uncultured bacterium. RNAcentral's name for it is "bacterial SSU rRNA". It matches the Rfam family "Bacterial small subunit ribosomal RNA", at positions 340 to 786 of the family's 1533-position model. The record is from RNAcentral.